This 862-nucleotide ribosomal RNA is filed under the name Flavobacterium sp. Its description in RNAcentral is "bacterial SSU rRNA". It matches the Rfam family "Bacterial small subunit ribosomal RNA", at positions 57 to 926 of the family's 1533-position model. Lineage: Bacteria; Pseudomonadati; Bacteroidota; Flavobacteriia; Flavobacteriales; Flavobacteriaceae. The record is from RNAcentral.
GCAGUCGAGGGGUAGAACACUUCGGUGUUUGAGACCGGCGCACGGGUGCGUAACGCGUAUGCAAUCUACCUUAUACAGGGGAAUAGCCCAGAGAAAUUUGGAUUAAUGCCCCAUGGUAUUAUAGAGUGGCAUCACUUUAUAAUUAAAGUUCCAACGGUAUAAGAUGAGCAUGCGUCCCAUUAGUUAGUUGGUAAGGUAACGGCUUACCAAGACGAUGAUGGGUAGGGGUCCUGAGAGGGAGAUCCCCCACACUGGUACUGAGACACGGACCAGACUCCUACGGGAGGCAGCAGUGAGGAAUAUUGGUCAAUGGUCGCAAGACUGAACCAGCCAUGCCGCGUGCAGGAAGACGGUCCUAUGGAUUGUAAACUGCUUUUAUACAGGAAGAAACCCUCCCACGUGUGGGAGCUUGACGGUACUGUAGGAAUAAGGAUCGGCUAACUCCGUGCCAGCAGCCGCGGUAAUACGGAGGAUCCAAGCGUUAUCCGGAAUCAUUGGGUUUAAAGGGUCCGUAGGCGGCCUUAUAAGUCAGUGGUGAAAUCCCAUCGCUCAACGAUGGAACUGCCAUUGAUACUGUAGAGCUUGAAUUAUUGUGAAGUAACUAGAAUAUGUAGUGUAGCGGUGAAAUGCUUAGAUAUUACAUGGAAUACCAAUUGCGAAGGCAGGUUACUAACAAUUGAUUGACGCUGAUGGACGAAAGCGUGGGGAGCGAACAGGAUUAGAUACCCUGGUAGUCCACGCCGUAAACGAUGGAUACUAGCUGUUCGGAGCAAUCUGAGUGGCUAAGCGAAAGUGAUAAGUAUCCCACCUGGGGAGUACGCACGCAAGUGUGAAACUCANAGGAAUUGACGGGGGCCCGCAC